GGAGUCUAGCAUGUGCGCGAGUCAUUGGGACCGCUAGUAAGCCUAAAGGCGUAAUGAAAGUGAAGGUCCGCCUAGCGCGGACCGAGGGAGGAUGGGCGGUCCCGAGGGGCCGCUCCGCACUCCCGGGGCGUCUCGUUCUCAUCGCGAGAUGAGGCGCACCCAGAGCGUACACGCUGGGACCCGAAAGAUGGUGAACUAUGCCUGGUCAGGACGAAGUCAGGGGAAACCCUGAUGGAGGUCCGUAGCGAUUCUGACGUGCAAAUCGAUCGUCUGAACUGGGUAUAGGGGCGAAAGACUAAUCGAACCAUCUAGUAGCUGGUUCCNUCCGA
RNAcentral lists this ribosomal RNA (329 nucleotides) under Arctodium vulpinum. RNAcentral's name for it is "partial 28S ribosomal RNA". It matches the Rfam family "Eukaryotic large subunit ribosomal RNA", at positions 670 to 964 of the family's 3401-position model. Lineage: Eukaryota; Metazoa; Arthropoda; Insecta; Coleoptera; Scarabaeidae. The record is from RNAcentral.